RNAcentral lists this unclassified non-coding RNA (165 nucleotides) under soil metagenome. RNAcentral's name for it is "partial internal transcribed spacer 1". The record is from RNAcentral.
CUGGAGUGGCUUCGGCAUAAACUCCCUAACCAUUGUGAACGAUACCUAUCGUUGCUUAGCUCGGUGGAGGCCUAGCGGCCUCGCGCCCAACCCCUCUGCAGGCUACCGCGGAGGCCCAAACUCUAUCAUACAUUGUCCUCUCUGAGUAGCUUAUAAAAUAAGUCA